Molecule: long non-coding RNA, 957 nt
Organism: Misgurnus anguillicaudatus (oriental weatherfish)
Lineage: Eukaryota; Metazoa; Chordata; Actinopteri; Cypriniformes; Cobitidae
Source: RefSeq, a predicted model, not a curated record
UUAUGUUUAUGUCACGGGGUGACGAUUUUUCGGGGUGGAACCAAAAGUUGAAGAAGUUUGGUUCCGCCCGGAUGUUUCCGUCCAGACCGGAAAACAGAAACACCGGACAUCCGGCAGCUUCGCGAAGGCUGUAAUCAGCCGAUUGGGCACAGCUGUGCCUAGUUAAAGAGAUCGCCGGGCAAUUGGAUAACUGGAGUACAGAGAGGAGUAUAAAAAGCACAGUUAGAUCACAGUUGAGGGUCGUAGUGUGUGCUGAGGAACGGAGCUGUGCUCAUUGUUAGACGUGGUGGCUGUCUGUAUUUCUCUCUCUCUCCCUCUCUUGUUGUAGUUUACGGUGGACCUGCUGGAGUAAAUGAAGAAUCCUAUGGGUAGAAAGGAACCUUGGUCUAACCAGUAUUUUUGAAGGAGUAAACAGGAAGAAAAUUGACCUUGUUGCACAACGUAAACAAAGGCUAUCCGCUGUGAGUAUACCCGUUGGUGUGGAGUAACUUGCAUAAAUUAACCUGUGUGAUCGUUGGAGUCCUCCAGGACUAGGAGGGCGGCCCUACCCCUAUAACAGCGUGGUGGGCGAGCCGCUAGAAGUGUACGUCCAAACAGCCACAGCAACGAGACUUUAUUUUGGUCGUGUUUCCAUCGCCCCUCUUUCAGCCCAAGCGCAGUGGAGGACACCGGGCGCUUUCCCUUGUGGUGUUGCACUGAUAGUGUGAGUCAGAGGCGAAAGGGUCCGCCGCCCCCGUGGUCUCUACAAAAGGGCGCCCCUGUCCAGGAUUCGAUCGGCCUACGGGCAGUGGAGGUAGGGCAGCGCUCGACCCGGCGAGGUGGUGUGUGACCUUCGCCCCUCUGCUGACCUACAGAGGAAACCGUACCUACCCAGAAAGCUGUAAGCAGCAGAGCCGGUGAGAGAUACUCGAAGUUUCAGUAACAGUGUCUUUGUGUCCUAGCGACCACCUGUGGAGA